UCCGGCUUAACGCCGGCAGUCUCGCUAGAGUUCCCGGCAUGACCCGCUGGCAACUAGCGAUAAGGGUUUCGCUCGUUAAGGGACUUAACCCGACACUUCACAGCACGAGCUGACGACAGCCAUGCAGCACCUGUGCACGUUUCACCCGAAGGCAGCCUACUCGCCUUUCAGCAAGAGCAUCCGUACAUGUCAAACCCAGGUAAGGUUCUUCGCGUUGCUUCGAAUUAAUCCACAUGCUCCACCGCUUGUGUGAGCCCCCGUCAAUUCCUUUGAGUUUUAGCCUUGCGGCCGUACUCCCCAGGCGGCGCACUUAACGUUUUUAUUCCGAUACGAGCAACGUCAGAGCUCCUCGUAUCUAGUGCGCAUCGUUUACAGCGUGGACUAC
RNAcentral lists this unclassified non-coding RNA (385 nucleotides) under uncultured Phycisphaerae bacterium. Its description in RNAcentral is "contains 16S-23S intergenic spacer region". The record is from RNAcentral. Lineage: Bacteria; Pseudomonadati; Planctomycetota; Phycisphaerae.